AUCACUUGAAUUUUCCAGAAAAGAAACCUCUGCUUGUGUUCUUUCAUUAGUCAAUCAGUCAUUGUUUGACUGCACUUGUUCUUCUUCCUGCACUGUUGGUCUCCUGUUGAUCGUCACUUAUCUCCAGGUGCUGCUCUCUACACGCAGCUUGUUAUCACCUGUUUGCUUACUUGAUUUUCGAAGACACCUACAAGUUGUUCACGUCCACAGUUCAGCGGAGGAGACUCUGGCACAAACUGACAUACGAAAAGAUCCCUACAUGUUGGACUUGAGCCAUGGUCUCCUGAAGCAGACAUCUGCCCACUUGAGCCACAGCGUGGUUUUUCUCACUCUUUAUACAACGCUGCCUACAGCGUUUUACUUUAAAGGUACAACAACGCUAAGAGGAGAACCGGGGAGAUGCCAGUCAAGAGCAGUGCGAACACGCCCACGCAGCUCUGAGAAGACACCUCAUCAAGAGCUUGUUUGCAGCUUUAAACAAUACCUUUCCUCUUGACUUCCAGUCAUACCAGCUUUCACAGUAUGGAGCAGUUUCUUGCUGGUUUCUCUGCUCUGCCUCUCCCUCUCCUAACACUCAGCCUGAUGCUCUGAAUAAAUGAACAGCAGCUACGAACCCCCCGAAUUCACCGAGAGUCCAUUUCAGUGCCAGAGUGCUGACACCCUGAGUGCCAAUUUAUGAACACACACACACACACACACACACCGCUGCCAGCAGUGUUUGUUCAAGUGCCAGUCAGACACACACAAUGCAUGUCAUCUGUUUGACUGUGAAUGCACCGCUGAAUGAGGAAAAUACAAUCGCUGUGAGUCAGGAGGAGAAGAAAAGGAGAGACAGGGAAUGAGUUUCUGUGUAUGUUCAGCUUUGGAGAGAAAACACAAGUCGGGACUCGAGCAGAUAUGAAAAGGAAGGAAAAGAUUUGAUUCUCAUCCUGCCACAAAUGCAGAGUCCACGUGUGCUUUCAGCUGAGUUUUUGUCUGCUUUGACAAUACAGCAGGUUGGAAAGCACAUCUGAACAGAAUCAUUUCCCGAAAACAAAUUUAAAAACACUUACUCAAGUUUUUAAUCAUGCAUAUUGUCACAGGGGAACAUGAAGUAGUGGAAAGUAACCAAAUACACGUAAGCACAGUACUACUAAACAUUGUGAAAGUGUCCACAUUUCUCACUAUUUUCAGGAUUUUUACAAACAAAACAAUCAGUUGAUUAAUGGAGAAAAUAGUCAGGAGAUAGCAAAUAAAAUGUAAUGUCAGUAAUAAAAUGUCAAUAAACAAAGAUGCAAUCAUGAUGUGAGAGCCUUUUCUCCCACUGUACCUCUGCUGCGUGGGGGGUUUAACGAAAAGAGAAGCUAUUACAAAGCGCUGAAGCAGGUAAUUACUCCAAAACUAAUUAGCUGACGAGUCAAGGACAGAUUGAAAUGCAAAAAUAAGAGCGAGUGGGGGACUUUUCUGGUACAGGAAAGAAAAGAGGGAAAAUGUCUGGAAAUGUUCUGUGUAAACAGCAGAGGAGGGCAGUGAGGAGCGAGA
Scatophagus argus is the source of this 1521-nucleotide long non-coding RNA. RefSeq lists it as uncharacterized. NCBI's taxonomy places the organism in Eukaryota, Metazoa, Chordata, Actinopteri, Scatophagidae. The transcript is spliced from 3 exons. The record is from RefSeq and is a predicted model, not a curated record.